GACGAACGCUGGCGGCGUGCUUAACACAUGCAAGUCGAACGGAAAGGCCCUGCUUUUGUGGGGUGCUCGAGUGGCGAACGGGUGAGUAACACGUGAGUAACCUGCCCUUGACUUUGGGAUAACUUCAGGAAACUGGGGCUAAUACCGGAUAGGAGCUCCUGCUGCAUGGUGGGGGUUGGAAAGUUUCGGCGGUUGGGGAUGGACUCGCGGCUUAUCAGCUUGUUGGUGGGGUAGUGGCUUACCAAGGCUUUGACGGGUAGCCGGCAUGAGAGGGUGACCGGCCACAUUGGGACUGAGAUACGGCCCAGACUCCUACGGGAGGCAGCAGUGGGGAAUAUUGCACAAUGGGCGGAAGCCUGAUGAAGCAACGCCGCGUGCGGGAUGACGGCCUUCGGGUUGUAAACCGCUUUCGCCUGUGACGAAGCGUGAGUGACGGUAAUGGGUAAAGAAGCACCGGCUAACUACGUG
Molecule: ribosomal RNA, 468 nt
Filed under: uncultured bacterium
Lineage: Bacteria
Description: partial 16S ribosomal RNA
Rfam family: Bacterial small subunit ribosomal RNA
Source: RNAcentral